This is an RNA transcript of Ooceraea biroi (clonal raider ant), 6031 nucleotides long. It is a transcript of the gene named lysine-specific demethylase 4A, with no coding region annotated. The record is from RefSeq and is a predicted model, not a curated record. NCBI's taxonomy places the organism in Eukaryota, Metazoa, Arthropoda, Insecta, Hymenoptera, Formicidae.
UUGCGGAAGAUUGCGUGGCCGUGAUUCGCGUCCGCGAAAACCGGAGGCACCGACUCGGAUUUAUUCGUCGCCUGACGCCUCUCGCACGGCGCCGCUGCAUCAGCUUUCGCCGCCGAGCGGCCGUCAUCGUCCUCGUCGUGUCGCGUGGCUCGCUCGCUCGCUCACGGGGCGUCGUGAGAACUCGCGUGUGAGAACUCCCGUUCUGUGCACGGACGUGCGACGAAUCGCCGAUAUUGAUACGCGACCGAGUGGUUCGGCUCCGUGCGAAAACGCCUCGCGAACAACGGGCUUCUUCAACAAUAGAUAACUACACCAUUUUGUUUAUGAACCCUCUCUCUGCCGCAUGUUUCGUUCCAAAAACAUCGAACCUAGGUGCCACGGUCUCUCUCGCGCGUGCUACGGGUGAUUGGGGAAAAUUGCAUGUCUGUGUAUGUGUGCGUACCUCCCUCGCGUGUUAUGUGGUCUUAUGCAACUGUUAUUUAUUUUGUCUCCCGUCAAUUACAUCGCGGCGGUACGCGUUUUCAAUGUACGCGAUGCGUCUGCCAGGCUGAUGGGCCACGUGCCGAGGGUGCCGGAAAUUAUUGCGCUUUCAUGAAGACACAUCGCAACGAGUAAUUAUAAGCUAACAAGCUAAAUUGAGCAAUGGUCAGUAAUAAUCCAAGGGGGAUACCCCGUAUACAGGUCUUUAGACCAACGUAUGAGGAAUUCAAAGAUUUUACUAAGUAUGUGGAAUACAUGGAGAGUCAGGGAGCUCACAAGGCUGGUCUGGCAAAAGUGAUACCACCACCAGAAUGGGUGGCAAGGAAGAAGGGCUACGACUUGGACGAUCUGGAUCUGACUAUUCCAGCACCAAUUUGCCAGGUCGUCACGGGGAAGCAAGGUCUUUAUCAGCAGAUAAACAUUCAGAAGAAAUCGAUGACCGUGAAGGAGUACAAUAAAUUGGCAAACUCGGAGCGUUAUGCCACCCCACGUCAUUUUGAUUACGAGGAUCUCGAGAGGAAGUACUGGAAGAACAUAACGUACGUAGCACCGAUAUACGGCGCGGACGUCUCCGGCUCGCUGACUGAUCCGGACGUGAAAGAGUGGAACAUCAAUCACCUGGGUACGAUUUUGGAUUAUGUCAACAAGGACUACGGUAUCUCGAUCGAUGGUGUCAACACGGCUUAUCUAUAUUUCGGGAUGUGGAAGACGACAUUUGCAUGGCACACCGAGGAUAUGGACCUUUAUUCCAUAAAUUAUUUGCAUUUCGGGGCACCGAAGACAUGGUACGCCAUACCACCGGAGCAUGGACGUAGACUGGAGAGACUGGCCAGUGGUUUCUUCCCAUCGAGCUACCAGAGUUGUCAAGCCUUCCUGCGCCACAAAAUGUCUCUGAUAUCUCCGCAGAUAUUGAGGCAGUACUCUAUUCCGUGUAACAAAAUCACGCAGGAAGCCGGAGAGAUAAUGAUUACGUUUCCGUAUGGCUAUCACGCCGGUUUCAAUCAUGGAUUUAAUUGUGCUGAAUCUACGAAUUUUGCGGCACCUAGAUGGGUGGAGUAUGGAAAGAGAGCGACACAGUGUACCUGCAGUAAAGACAUGGUCAAGAUAUCUAUGGAUACAUUCGUCAAACGUUUUCAACCAGAAAGGUAUGAAUUGUGGCUACGCGGUGAGGACAUUGGUCCCCAUCCUGAAGAUCCUAGACAAACUGCUGCGCCGAUGCCGUCGCAAAUGGAUUUGUUGUGUAGUAACAGUAGCAAUGGUGAAUUACCGCAAGGCUAUCUGAACGCGGCACCGAAGAAUAAACGGCAUACGAUUCAUAAGAAGAAGAAUAUUAUAGGUAGAAAUCCCGACAUGGAAGACCUCGUAAACCGAGCGGACAUACCGCUGGAGGUGAAGAAGGCUCUGCAAGAUCUCGAGUACGAAGAGAUGGAGGAACCGCCAGACGAGCAACAAUUGGAAGUUUUGGAGGAUAUCUGGCUGAAAGCAGGAGAAAUGGAUGUCGACGAGGCGACUGUAUAUGACGAUGGUUACAAUCGCAAGAAAAGCAGAAAGAGAAAGAGAAAGCAAAAUACGGAUAAAGAGAAGAAAACGAAAUCGAAGGAGAAGGGCAACAAAGCCACUAUGCAGAAUAUAGAAAUGCUCAAGAUAAAAGCUGAGCCCGACUUGUCCAAUUCGUUCGGGGACGUGUCUCAGGAAAAUAGCGAGGAGAUUCCUGUACUUCAAGGGAAUUACAAUGAUGACAUCAUUAUUCACAAUGAUCCGAUAGAUGAUCCUUUGAAGAUCGACGAGAACUUAAUGGAAGGCGAGAGACCUGCGAAAAAGAGGAAGAAGCACUCAAAGCACAGCGGACAAAAGAAAGUGAAGACAAAGCACGUAUCUAAGAAACGCAAGUACGAUAAUAUUCCGCCAAUGUUCGGCCACGCGCCGACUUUAGACGUUUCAAAUGCCGUUUCAAGUGUGCAAUGCAAGAACGUAAUAUUACCUGAUCUCACUAUAAAAGAUGUUUCUAGCAAUCAAGGAAAAAUCGACACGUUAUCUCGAAAUAGUAUUACUCUCGGUACUGAACUCGACAUCGAUGCAAGAGAUAAAAAAUCACAAGAGAUAAAAAUUACGACUAUAGUCGACAGCAGUCAGAUAGCGAACUUUUCCGCCUACAGCAAUGCUAGAAGCACCUUGAUGAGCAACGCAACGGAAAGUCAGACCGCUCAUCAGGUCGCGCGCUCAUCGAACGCCAAAUCCAAUUCUUCGAAAACAAGUACGCAAGUAGAUAUUCAAGUACAAGCAAGUUUGAAUCGAAGUUUGUGUACCACUGUACAGAGUACAAAUUCCGUCUGUCAGAGUGAAAGUACAAAAUCCAUGCUCGCUCACAUAAAGCCGGCUUGCACGACUUACAAAGGCAUAAACGUGACGUCCGCGGGAAAUAAUCCAGCAACAAUGGGCAACGGUACCCGCAAGGAUAUAUUGAAGGCGGCCAAAUUGAGGAUUACAAAUACCAACUCGUCGUCGAUAAGAUUCGUGCCGCAGACGCAGCCCGAAAAUUCCGGCGGCAAUCAGAAAGAUUUGCAUGUCUCGAUGAAUAACAUAGUUUGGCAGGGAAUAAAAACUCCAUCGAACAACAUGUUGUUCCUGCCAAGCAAUAUGUCUUAUUCGACAAACUUCAAUCGUAGUCCACCAGUAUUGCAAAAAGAAUUGCAAUGCGGACAAGGUUUAAUGGAUAAAGCGAAGGUCUUACCGCAGCCGUCGGAGCACAUUCCAAUAUUGCAAGUCCCGGCCAGCAUCACUAUCACUUCUCAGGCACCUACUCUAGAGCGUCAAUCUUUGUUUCCCAGCAGUUUCUCGCAGCAACCGUUCGCGAUUAAACACGAUGCCACGAAUACAAGGGCUGAAAUAAGACCGUUGAUAUCCGCGAGCAACGGUUCCAGAGAAGCGGCGAAGCAAUUCUGGGGAAAUAAUGCGACAAUUCAAAGCGCUAAAUCCGAGAAGCCUGUAACGAACAAGCAAUCCUUCGUACAGAUGAACACAUUGGCAUUUUCGUCUUUACCGAAGAUGAACGCAGUGCUGAUGCCGCAGUGUUCAGUCGCGGUAUAUCCCCCAGCUCAAAUCACUCCUAUUGGCAUUGGCAAGCCGUGUUUACAAAGCGUCAAUACCAUCGCGAAUCUCCCAUCUGCAAAAAAUGCAAAACAAAUUCUACCAAAAGUUACUACGUCACGUCAGAGAUUGCCCAAGAGUAACACUUCGCGCAAGAAGAACUCGGCGAAAGAUACGAGCGAUAAGUCGAGCAACGGUACUAGUGGUAAAGCUGUGUCAAACGUGUCUCAUCCGAUCAAUCCUGCGAGCACACUUGUCGAAACGCGAGUUGAUGUGGCAAGUCAGUGUCAAUCUGCUCAGCCUGAUGCAAGCAAAAUUCUGUCAAAAUCGGAAGAUGUACAAGUUGUGAUACCUUCGGACGAACAUUUGUCAGUUGAGAAGAAACUACUUAUCGCUACUGACCGUCUGCAGCACAAUGAAGGACAGUGCAUAAACACGUCUUGCCUUGACGUGCCUUGUACAGACGUUUCCUCGCAUUCAUCACUCCUAAGCUUACAACAGGGCAAGAUGCCUCUCAUCUCAAAGAAGUAUAAAGAGUCUAAGAAAUCUACGACGAGAAGAAAACAACAACUUUCUACCGAAGCUCUGACGAAAGACCAGUUCUCACCAACGCAACAGCAACAGCAGCAGAGUUCCGAUUUGUUGCACGCCUGCAAUUCCCAGCAAGCAUCCUUAAUCCCGGGUCACAUGUCCGAUAUGAUGUAUCCAAAUGUGCCGAAUGGCGAUCUGUUACGAGCGUUCAACGAUUAUUGGAGUGCUCAAGUCUCGCACUGCGCGAUAUGUGCCACCUUUGCAUCGUGUACAAGCGGCAGCAGUAGAGUGAUGCCCCCUGAUUGGAAGUAUUGUAAUUCAACCACGUUACCUGAAAGUACACCGAUAUGGGUAUCCGCCAGUAUUUUCGCGGCAAACUCCAAGGAGCAAGCUGUCGAACCAGAGAACAACAAGCUCUUACGAUGUAGAGAAUGUCAUGUGACUGUCCAUGCAUCUUGUUACGGUAUAACUAUAUUGCCUACCGAUGUCCGAAAUUGGGCUUGCGACAAGUGCAAAGCGGGUAGAAACGAUGUGAUGUGUUGCCUGUGUCCGAUGUUUGGUGGUCCUAUGAAACGUACCAGUGAUAGUAGAUGGGCUCAUAUCUUGUGCACACUCAUGGUACCAGGUGCCACUUUCAAAGAUGCCAUAAACAAAGAUCCUAUCAACGUGUUAACAAUCAUGGCGGAUUCGUUAAGUAAAAAGUGUUGCUUCUGCGACCAACAAAGCGGAGCAUGCCUCACAUGUAACAAGUGCAGCAAUGUCUUUCAUCCGUUUUGCGGUCUCGUGGCAGGUGCCACAUUUAGUAUACCAGCCUACAACUCGCAGGAACUUCAGGUUACAUGUAACGGCCAUGAUGAAGGCAAGGGAAAGAUUCCUCAGAUACGGCAAGGGGAGACUGUUUGGGCGAAACACCGAAACAGUCGAUACUAUCAAGCCAGAGUGGAGUCUAUUGAAGAUACCCUUUUUUACAUGGUUACAUUUAGUGACAACAGCUUCAGCGAAGAUCUAUAUCCCUCAGAUAUAACUAAUUAUGAUCGUAAUAUUACACCUCCACUUGGAGCUGCAGUGACUGUAAAAUGGACGGAUGGUCUGACGUAUGACGGUGUCUUUGAGGGUACAAAUCAUCGAAUAAUGUUCACUGUAACUUUCGAGGAUGGCUCACAGCUCGUUUUAACACGCAGUGAGAUCUGUAGCUUACAAGAAGAUAUGCCAAAGAGAGUGCGUUCCCGUCUGUCCGUCGCGACUGAAAUGAAGCACCGAUCUCAUCUUUAUGGCACAGAGGACGAAACAGAAGCGCAAAGAAAGGUGAAACAAUCGAAAGGUUGCGACUGAACAGAGAAGCGUAUGAUGUACAUAAAUGAUCAAAAGAGAACGCAAAGUUUCACUUGUAAAAAAAGAUAAUACUGGGUACAUGGGAAAAAGAGUUGUAUUUUAUAAUGUUUCCGACUCGAUCACUGGAUCUCGAACUGAUCAGAUGAAUUGCUGUGAUGGCAAUGUCAGUUUUACGGUAUCUACAUUUAGGAUUUUCGCAUAAGAAGGUAACAAAUAUAAAGGAUAUUGUCGAGAGCAUAUAUAUAAUGUACAAUAUAUAUUGACAUGUAAGUUCCGAACGAAAUCACGAUUAUUGUUCAUCACUGUAAUUGCUGCAAUAGACGUGAUUAUCAUUCUGUAAACAAUGCUUAUUGUUAAAUAUGAUCUUAAUAUCCAUUAAUGAUAGAUAUUCGUAUCUUAUUACAUAUACAUAUAAAAAUCUUAAGAUUAGAUUUAAGCUCUGUAUCAUAGAGAUUUGUAGUAUUCGUAAGUUAUAUGAUAUAGCAAAAUUUGUCAUUUUUGUUACAGUAACUGCUCAGACGCUUUUACUGAACACAAAUUCUAUUGUAAACCUGGAGAAAUAUUAUAUAACAUCAUAAAUAAAAAAAGUUUUUAAAACAGA